CGUCCCUACGGGACGCAGCAGUGGGGGAUAUUGCACAAUGGGGGAAACCCUGAUGCAGCGACGCCGCGUGGGUGAAGAAGCGCCUCGGCGCGUAAAGCCCUGUCAGCAGGGAAGAAAAUGACGGUACCUGAAGAAGAAGCCCCGGCUAACUACGUGCCAGCAGCCGCGGUAAUACGUAGGGGGCAAGCGUUAUCCGGAUUCACUGGGUGUAAAGGGAGCGUAGACGGCGACGCAAGUCUGGAGUGAAAGCCCGGGGCCCAACCCCGGGACUGCUCUGGAAACUGCGGCGCUGGAGUA
Molecule: ribosomal RNA, 297 nt
Filed under: uncultured bacterium
Lineage: Bacteria
Description: partial 16S ribosomal RNA
Rfam family: Bacterial small subunit ribosomal RNA
Source: RNAcentral